GAUAUUUGGACCUAUUAACUCGAAAUAAAAGGCCGAAGUCUGCGCCCAACAAAGCAUUGAGCAAAAUGGACUUUCAAACAUAAACCAACACAAACAAAAUUACGGCAUUGAACUCACAUCCAAAUGCAAAUGUGUGUGGAGGCCCUUUUCAAUAUUAAAAUCUCCCUUCAGUCUUUAUUGGCUUCUUCAUGUGUGUCUUCUCCAAUUUAAAUGAUGCAAAUGCAGAACUCAUUUGGCUAGACUCUUCCCCAAAAGUGCAUGGUUUACGUUGAAGUUGCAAAGAAGAUUGCCUCAAAAUAUCAAAUAAUGAACUCCCUGACUUAAUUUCUUGUACGCUGUUCUGUGCACUUGGUCUCACUUGAGAAUAACUAAACUUAGCUGAAGAAAUUCUUGUAGAUUUAUUUUCAUUCUGACCCUGCAAAGCCAAGUUAGUUAUGUUGUUAGUUGGACCACGCUUGUCCAAGGAACACUUGAUCGGUUUGGAUUGAACUGAUCUAUGAUGAGGUCAAGUCAUCUAUUGCCUCUCAAGUCAUCUAAAAGUAACGUAAAUAUAUGUGACUGCUUCAGCAUCAAUAUUGUCAUAACUAGAGCUAACCUGAUCAGAAGAUUCCUCCAUCGUUGGAAUUGAGCUCCUGCUGUUGGUAUCAUCUCGACCGAAAAUGAAAGAACGACUGUUGGUUGAUGAUCCAUGCUUAUGGGAUGAAGAAAAAGAGAAAUUUGAACUUCGGCCUAAGAAAGAUGACUGCAAUAACUUAUGUUAGCUUUACAGAAGAUGAGGUCUUCAUCCAAUAGAACUGAAGGUUUUGAUAGCUAAUGCAUUUUGGAACUCAGAGAUUAUGGAUACAGAUACCUUUGAAGAUGUGUUCUUGCCUACACCGGUUAGUGGAGGGUCUGAAAACACUGCAUAAAUGGAGACAAUACAUAAGGUUUAGAUAAAGGAUGGCAGAUUAUGUGGAUGACGAAAACAAGGUGAAGGAUCUUACAUUGUGCUUUGGGUCUCUUCUUUACAUCAGGUACAACAUUCAGCUUCUUGAUAAGGCCAAAAACUUCUCUGGUGCUCUCAACCUCAGCAGGCGAGAGAAACGUGGAUUUUCCAUCCUGUUUCAGACCAAUGAUUAGAUCAUCAUGUGAACUAUAUGGUUGAACGAUUAAAAGAUAAGCAAAAGACUUUGUUCAUGAAAGAAUAGCUCGAAUCUCACGGCUUUAUCAAAUACACGUUCUCUUUCUAGCCUCCUUUCUGUUUCCUCAUCAUCAGACAUGUAUGGAUCAUCUUUAUCUGUAUACAUUUGAGGAAGCAUUUGCUUUACUUUUCUAAUGUUCAUUCGAGCCACAUCCAGUGGAAGAGAAUCUUCUGCAUCAGCUUCACAAAAUUCAAAAUCAUCAUUUUCUCCCUCGUUGUUUUCAUCUUCCAGUAAAGAUGGUUUGGUAAGUUUUGAGCCAUAUUUCAAUUUCUGUAGAAGAUCUUCUGUUCCAGCAGCAUCUUGCUGUUCAAGCCACUUCUGAUGGAGUUCAUUGCGUUUUUCAUUGUCUAAUGGAUUUUCAUCGUAAGCAGUUGCUAUCAUAUCUUGAAGCUCUUCUAAAUCGGCAUCAUCGUCUUCCUCGUCAUCUUGGAAGCGCAUAUCAUGGUCACUGUCAUCUUCUUCCUCGGCUUCAUCAUCAACAAAAGCUUUAACAGGAUCCCCGCUUGCUGAUGAAGGCAAGUCUGACAAACCAUGUGGAUGUGGAUUAACAUUCUCCUUGUCAUUAUCCUCUUCUUCAUCAGAGCUAUAAAAAGCAAAAUACUUGAGUUACAUAAGCUUUCUUGAAAACCAACACUAAACUUCAUCAAAUAAUUAGAAGUGGCCCUGCUUAAUAUUCUUGUUUUUCAAUAUUACGAGUAGGAAUGAAAACCAACAUGCAAUUGCAAACCAAAACAUCAUGAAUAUGGCAAAUGAGUACAUGCAAUAAAAUUUCCAAUCACUUGGCAUUCUUACUCAUCAAGCGCUGCAGAAUCGAGCCUUAAAUUCAUUGCCAAUACCGAUGGUGUGAAAUUUUCUUGCAGAUGACUGCUGGAUGUCUCGUUCAACACAUCAUCAAGAGGAGCAGAUUCAAGCUUUAAAUUCAUUGCCAAUACAGAUGGCGUAAAAUUUUCUUGCAGAGGAUUUUUGGACAUCUCGUUUGAUACAUCAUUUCCAAUGCUUGUUUGGGAAUCAGAAAAGAGUUCCUGGAACAUGAUAAACAAAGUAAUUAUCCUAAAUAUAUGUGUGUGUACGUGCUUGAACGCGUGUGUAAAAGGAACAUUGUCACAAUUCACCGAACAAAAAUACCUGAGUGUCAUUAACAGGAGCCCGAAAUGGUUCCGUGACCUCAUCAGUAGCCUGUAUUUCAUAAGGGCAACAAGUGACGAGUCAGUUGCACAAUCUAAAUUCUAACUUCAAUGCACAUGAAGAUUGAGAAUCCUUACAGCAAAAAAAAAGCAACUAAUAAUAAUAAUUUGUUGUUUAGGUCAAAUUAACAGGCAAUAAAGAAAAUGACAUGUAAUUUAGCUUGUUUCAAGUCUUAGUUACUGGAAUGACUCAACAAGAACUAGCCAAUACUUCCACCAAUGUAAUUGUUAUUCCUAAGAAUGUACUUGGUGUACCAAAGAAAAAAUACAAGCUUGUUCAAACAUAAACUAAUUUAAACUUAAUAAUGGUAUGAGAAGGGGAGGUGGAAGCCAUCUAACCCUUUCCCUCUGUGGGGGCAUGUUUGUUCCAUUACUUCGUUCAUGUAUACACAUUGUAUCUUUUUUAUUCUCCUCAUCGGCAGGAUGCUUAUCCAUAUCCCCACAUUCUUUUUCUACAGAAUCCGCCCUCCCUUCUACAGACAACCUAUGCUUGCUUACAACCUUUAUGAACUGAUAAUUGUCAUCAUCUUCAUCGUCACAGACUAAAAUGGAAUUCUCAAUAUUGAUAGAUCUGCAUAAAUAGAUAUUACAUAAGUUCACAGUCU
This 2970-nucleotide long non-coding RNA is filed under the name Cucumis sativus (cucumber). RNAcentral describes it as "long non-coding RNA (CSAT_LNC001315)". Lineage: Eukaryota; Viridiplantae; Streptophyta; Magnoliopsida; Cucurbitales; Cucurbitaceae. The record is from RNAcentral.